This 253-nucleotide ribosomal RNA is filed under the name uncultured bacterium. RNAcentral's name for it is "partial 16S ribosomal RNA". It matches the Rfam family "Bacterial small subunit ribosomal RNA", at positions 524 to 776 of the family's 1533-position model. The record is from RNAcentral.
UACAGAGGUCCCAAGCGUUGUUCGGAUUCACUGGGCGUAAAGGGUGCGUAGGCGGUUGGGUAAGUCUGACGUGAAAUCUUCAAGCUUAACUUGGAAACUGCGUCGGAUACUAUUCGGCUAGAGGAAUGGAGGGGAGACUGGAAUACUUGGUGUAGCAGUGAAAUGCGUAGAUAUCAAGUGGAACACCAGUGGCGAAGGCGAGUCUCUGGACAUUUCCUGACGCUGAGGCACGAAAGCCAGGGGAGCAAACGGG